AUUAAGGUGGCAGAGCAGGUAACUGCAUAAAACUUAAAGCCUUUAUAAUCAGAGGUUCAAACCCUCUCCCUAAUA
RNAcentral lists this transfer RNA (75 nucleotides) under Monodelphis domestica (gray short-tailed opossum). It matches the Rfam family "tRNA". From Rfam's summary of the family: Transfer RNA (tRNA) molecules are approximately 80 nucleotides in length. Lineage: Eukaryota; Metazoa; Chordata; Mammalia; Didelphimorphia; Didelphidae. The record is from Rfam by way of RNAcentral.